UGGGAAGGGAAGACUGAGGAGGGAUCUCGUUAAUGAAUAAAAAUAUCUCCAAGGGAUGUCAGGGCAUAGUGCCAGACUCGUCAGCGGUGCCCAGCCACAGGACGAGGAGCAAUGGCUGUAAACUAAACCAGAAGUUCCUCCUCAGCAUGAGGAAGAGCUUCUUUCCAUGAGGGUGGCAGGGAGCAGCUGGGCAUGGAGUCCCCCUUUCUGGAGCCACCCCAAACCUACCUGGACACUCUUCCUAUUUAAUCUGCUCCAGGUGACCAUGCCUUGGCCAGGGUGAUCUCCAGAGAGCCCUUCCAACCCUCACAAAUCUGUGAUUCUGUGUUGUUUCCCUCAGGAACUUGACAAAUAGCAAUUCUGUACUUAGAACUUCUUUUUUUUUUUUUUUUUUUUUUUUCCCAGCUUGGCUUAUAAAGGUACUCACACAGCCAAAGUUUCCAGAGCAUUCUUUUCAUAUUUUCCUCACAGCCUCCAUCAUUGCACUGGAAGGGUUUGCAUGAAAGAGAAAGUAGGAAAAAAAUAAUAAGGAAGCAUUAAAUUUGCAAUUUCUGUCUUGCAGACCUCACGUAAAUCAGGCAGGAGAGAUGUUACCAAAAUGGAAUAAUUUCCCACCAGAACUCAUACUGAAACCCUAAUUAAUAUUGAAAAGUCUGUGCUCUGCCAUGUCUACAAAUCCAUGGAAUUUGGAUGGUGGCAUGUUCCCAGCCCAGCUGGACGUUGGCAGCACGUGUCUCCUGGGAGAGCUGGCAGAGAGGAGCCAAGGGCAGUGUUCUGCUCUGUCUGCAUGGGCCGCCCGAGGUUAUUCUGCACUUGCUAAAGCCAGGUGUGAAUUUCUGCCUGGGUCAGAGGCCCAGGUUCAGGAGCAGUGCUCCGUGGAGCAGGUGACUCCCAGGAUACUCACAGGUCACUGUGCUGUGGGCAGUGCUGUCACUGUCAAUGCCAAUCACUGCCAGGUCACAGGGGUGCCGAGGGAAGGUCUCCACUGGGAGCCUUUUCUUCCGGCAGCAGAACUUGACACAGCUCGCUGAGACCCCACAGAGCAGGAGCAGGAACACCAUCAGCAAGAUCAGCCUGAAACAGGGGGAAAGACCAUCAUCACUGCUGCUGUUUCACUACUUCUGAACCAGAAUAUAAUUUCACUUGAAAUGGUUGGAAGAUCCGCCGAGCCUCCUUGAUUUAGUUCUGAAUGGGUGCUGGAUCCUGGAUUAGGAAGGUGGAUCACAAACACUCAAUCACAAGUUGAAGAACUGCUGCCCAUAAGUACAACCCGUUCUGGCUCACAGGUGCUGUAACAUUUCACUAUUUUGGGUCAUUUUCAGCUUCUGUGCAGGGAGAAUGGCUCUGCUUUCCACAGCAAGAGAGGGUUUGUACUUGGAGGGAAAUACAAGCACAAACUUCCACAAGUCUAGGGCCUCUCUUUAUAAAUGAGGAUGGAAAUGAUAUGAUGUUAAAUUAUGCUUAUGCCUUGAAAACACAAUUCUAUCUGUAGCUAUUGCUUAAGGAAGUCUAUAAUUUAAUAAUUUACAAUGUACCUAGACUGAUAUACUUGUGUUUCAGGUUCCCCUCUCCACUGAAACUCCACCUUUCCACCUCUCAGUUUCUCAAUCCAACUCCCUCUUCUCGUGGAGGCUUUUAGAAGCCUUCUCAAUCUAUUUCUGGUAACUGUGUCUUUUUAAACAGCUUUGUGUGUCAACAAAAGUUGCAGCAGACUGAAGGAUGUGAAGUAAUCAACUCCCUCUGUGUGCUGCCACCAAAGCCAAUGUAUGGACAGAAUGCAAACUAUGAAAACGAUGUCAGGGCACCUACACCAGGUGUGAGGUAGGAGAUGAAUCCUGUUGGGAAUUCUCUCUUGUCCCAGUCUCCCGCUCCCAGCAGGCCGUGCUGGAGCUCCGAGGGGAAGCUCAGCAGAGGGUGACAGUCCCUGUCCCAUAGAAGGGAAUGAGCCCAGGAUGAGCCCAGCAAAUCCCUGCUGGAAGCUGCCCUGUGCCAAGAGCCAAUGGCCAGCAAGGCUCUGGCUAUUUAGGAAGAAUAAACAAGCCCUGGAGUUCAACUCCAGUGCGCUCAGAAGGGAAAGAUGACACAGCCCUCAGUGAAUGCUGGUCCCCACCUGACACCCAAUCUCCCCUGGCCUCAUCCAGUCCAUUCCUCUGCAAACAGAGAAACCCUUUCCUGAUCCUGCCUGAGACAAGCGUUUCCACUGCCUUGCUCCAAGUCCUGCUCAUAAAAACUUCCAAAUGGUUCUGGGUGAGGAAGAUUAAAAGCCAACUUACCAGACAUACCACAGAUUUGUCCAAUCAGACAUGUUCUGAGGGCAUCUGUGAAGGAAGGCAGAUGAUUCACUGAUUUAAAUAGUGCAUGUAUGACAGGGAAUGCAUUCCCUGGGGUGGAAAAGGGAAAGCACUCAGUAAGAGUGUGGAGAAAAACCACUUUAGAUUGUUCUUCAUGGCUGUACCAUUACUCCACAUGAGAACAUGCAAAUAAUCCCACUGUAAAGGUUGCUUCUGAAUCAAUAAAUGUUUUUAUUGA
This is a long non-coding RNA of Taeniopygia guttata (zebra finch), 2529 nucleotides long. RefSeq lists it as uncharacterized. The record is from RefSeq and is a predicted model, not a curated record. Lineage: Eukaryota; Metazoa; Chordata; Aves; Passeriformes; Estrildidae.